ACAAUCUUUGCAGGAUCAGCUUGACCAUAUUUCAUCUUUUUUGCAGAGAUUUGCUCCUCCGGUUGCUGAUACUUCAUCUACUCGUAGAGAUGAUGAUGCCGUCGACUCUUGAUACAUCGUAGAUUGUGUACUUACGAUUUUGAGAUGAAUGUUUUUAGAUUGUUUUAAAUUUUUUUUUUGAUACUUACCUCAAUUUCCAAAAUACGAUUAUGCCAGAACUUUGAUAAGUAUAGAUCUUGGAAAGGACUUUAAUUAGUAUGUUCUAUGUUGACUUGACAGGAACAUGGUUUCCAAAAUCUUAUGUAUAACAAUUAGUUUGUAGAGUU
Molecule: non-coding RNA, 326 nt
Organism: Phoenix dactylifera (date palm)
Lineage: Eukaryota; Viridiplantae; Streptophyta; Magnoliopsida; Arecales; Arecaceae
Source: RefSeq, a predicted model, not a curated record